CAUCAGCAAAGAUGACAUUGUGUCCUCUGCAAGGAGAGGGGCGAAGGGGCUCACAUCUGUUUUGGAAACCAUUCAGCGCAGGAAAACGACCCACAUGCAGAAGUAAUGUGGUUUUGAUUGUACUGUGCUCUAUAGAAAGUAGUGCACACAUAUUAAACUAUAUUAGACAGUAUAAUAAUAGCUUGCAGUUUGUCUGCCUUUCAUCUGGACGUGCCUCGCGGACGUCACGUGGAUGCAGAGCCCUCUUUCACUGCUGCUGAGCUGCAGCCGCCCCGCGCAUCCCUGCAGUGUGUGCAGCACAGCGCGUCCCAGAGGUGCUGACCAGGAUGCAGGAUUCCCUGGGAUCCAAAGAUCCCCAUCCUGCUGUGCCCCAGAUCUGAUGUGUAAGGAGCAGGAAAAUCUAAACACAAACGAGGAGUGCAGGAGGCACCGGCGCGAUGCGUGAUUUUAAGGGAUGUGGGCACCGUGCUGAUGCUGCGUGCUGUGUCAUUGGAGUCAACACAGAGGUUCUUCCCAUCCCUGCGGCUGUAAUAUCUGGAGCGCCUCCGCAGAUGAAAGGAAAAGACACCAUCUCUCCCACUCUCGCUCGCUCCGUGAGAGCUGAUGCAGUUAAUUGGAGCUUCUUGUGAGCGCACAUUAACACAGGCAGAGCCAAGAAGACGUCUUGGCAGCGAAAUAUCAUUAUCAGCUCUUGAGCUCCAGCCAAAAUCCCCUUGCGGUCAAAACACAAUUCUUUAAACUAAACAAUUAAAGAUUUGUGCAAGUGUUGCUGCCAUGAGUUAUCGGGGCCGGGGGGGCAGCGGGGAUGCAGGUGAUGGCUGAGCCCCAGCGUGGGGCAUGGGGAGGGGCCCUGUGAGCCAUCCCCAGUGUCCCCAUGGGGCUCAGCCCAGUGGCACCGGGAUGAAAGGGAGCAGUGUGGGGACCCUUUGGAUGGAGCUCAUGGCACCGGGAGC
This 953-nucleotide long non-coding RNA is filed under the name Gallus gallus (chicken). RNAcentral's name for it is "lncRNA (ENSGALG00010027823.1)". The record is from RNAcentral. Lineage: Eukaryota; Metazoa; Chordata; Aves; Galliformes; Phasianidae.